RNAcentral lists this ribosomal RNA (497 nucleotides) under uncultured bacterium. RNAcentral's name for it is "partial 16S ribosomal RNA". It matches the Rfam family "Bacterial small subunit ribosomal RNA", at positions 28 to 507 of the family's 1533-position model. The record is from RNAcentral.
GAUGAACGCUGGCGGCGUGCCUAAUACAUGCAAGUCGAGCGAACAGACGAGGAGCUUGCUUCUCUGACGUUAGCGGCGGACGGGUGAGUAACACGUGGAUAACCUACCUAUAAGACUGGGAUAACUUCGGGAAACCGGAGCUAAUACCGGAUAAUAUAUUGAACCGCAUGGUUCAAUAGUGAAAGACGGUUUUGCUGUCCCUUAUCGAUGGAUCCGCGCCGCAUUAGCUAGUUGGUAAGGUAACGGCAUACCAAGGCAACGAUGCGUAGCCGACCUGAGAGGGUGGUCGGCCACACUGGAACUGAAACGCGGUCCAGACUCCUACGGGAGGCAGCAGUAGGGAAUCUGCCGCAGUGGGCGAAAGCCUGGCGCAGCGAGGCCGCGUGAGUGAUGAAGGUCUUCGGAUCGUAAUACUCUGUUAUUAGGGAAGAACAAAUGUGUGAGUAACUAUACACGUCUUGACGGUACCUGAACAAAAAGCCACGGCUAACUACGUG